UUAUGGUUAAAAAAAUUUAUUAAAAAUUUAUUUUACAUAUAAAUUUUAGUAUAUAUAUAUAAUUUAUUUAAAAAAUAUUUUAAUUUUAUUAUUAUAGUAAUUGAUAUUAAAUAAUUUAAGAAAUUAAGAUUUAGUAAUAUAAAAAUUAAUAACAAAUUUUGUGCCAGCAGUUGCGGUUAUACAAAAAUUAAAUUAAAUUUUAUUAGUGAUUAAUAAAUAAUUUUAAUAAAAAUAUAAUAAAAAUUUUAAAUUAUUAAGUGAAAUUUUAAUUUAAGUAAAAUUUAUUUUUUUGUUAUUAUUUAAUAAAUUUUUUUAAGAAACUAGGAUUAGAUACCCUAUUAUUGAAAUUUUAAAUUAAUAAAUACUAAAAUAAUAAAUAAUUAUUUAUUGAAACUUAAAUAAUUUGGCGGUAUUUUAGUUCAUUUAGAGGAAUCUGUUUAAUAAUUGAUAGUCCACAAAUAAAUUUACUUAAUUUUUAAUUUUGUAUAUCGUUGUUAUAAAAAUAUUUUUUAAUAAUUAAUAAUAUUUUAAAAUUUAAAUAUAAAAUUAAAUCAAAUCAAGAUGCAGAUUAUAAUUAAGAAUAUAAUGGAUUACAAUAAAUGUAUUUAAAUGAAUAUUAAUUUGUAAAAAUUAAUUGAAAGUGGAUUUAAAUGUAAUUUUAUUUAAUUUAUUAAAAUGAUUAAUAAUUAAAAUAUGUACAUAUUGCCCGUCGCUUUCAUAUAUAUAUAUAUAUAUAUAUAAAUUGAAAUAAGUCGUAACAAAGUAGAGAUACUGGAAAGUGUUUCUAGAAAGAC
Molecule: non-coding RNA, 794 nt
Filed under: Camptoloma vanata
Lineage: Eukaryota; Metazoa; Arthropoda; Insecta; Lepidoptera; Nolidae
Source: RNAcentral